This 441-nucleotide ribosomal RNA is filed under the name uncultured bacterium. RNAcentral describes it as "partial 16S ribosomal RNA". It matches the Rfam family "Bacterial small subunit ribosomal RNA", at positions 338 to 795 of the family's 1533-position model. The record is from RNAcentral.
CCUACGGGUGGCAGCAGUGGGGAAUAUUGCACAAUGGGGGCAACCCUGAUGCAGCAACGCCGCGUGAGUGAGGAAGUAUUUCGGUAUGUAAAGCUCUAUCAGCAGGGAGUAGAAAAGUAGGUACCUGACCUAGAAGCCCCGGCUAACUACGUGCCAGCAGCCGCGGUAAUACGUAGGGGGCAAGCGUUAUCCGGAUUUACUGGGUGUAAAGGGAACGUAGGCGGAAAGGCAAGUCAGAAGUGAAAACCCAAGGCUCAACCAUGGGACUGCUUCUGAAACUGGCAAACUAGAGUACGGGAGAGGUAAGAAGAAUUCCUAGUGUAGCGGUGAAAUGCGUAGAUAUCAGGAGGAACACCAGUGGCGAAGGCGGCUUACUGGACGGAAACUGACGUUGAGGCUCGAAAGCGUGGGGAGCAAACAGGAUUAGAUACCCUAGUAGUC